Molecule: ribosomal RNA, 301 nt
Filed under: Azadinium spinosum
Lineage: Eukaryota; Dinophyceae; Gonyaulacales; Amphidomataceae
Description: partial Bacterial large subunit ribosomal RNA
Rfam family: Bacterial large subunit ribosomal RNA
Source: RNAcentral
AAACGAGCUAUGACCCUACGAUUUCCGAAUGGGGAAACCCACUUACCUUUGGUAAGUAUCAAUAAGUGAAUACAUAGCUUAUUGAGGCGAACCCGGUGAACUGAAACAUCUAAGUAACCGGAGGAAAAGAAAUCAACCGAGAUUCCCCUAGUAGCGGCGAGCGAACGGGGACCAGCCGAUGAUUAAUGUAUUAGUAGAACAAGCUGGGAAGCUUGGCCAUAGUGGGUGAUAGCCCCGUAUACGAAGAUGCAUUAGUCACAUAUUAAGUAGGGCGGGACACGUGUUAUCCUGUCUGAAGAUC